AUUGAACGCUGGCGGCAGGCCUAACACAUGCAAGUCGAGCGAGCGGCGGACGGGUGAGUAAUGUCUGGGAAAAUGCCUGAUGGGGGGGGAUAACUACUGGAAACGGUGGCUAAUACCGCAUACCAUCAGAUGUGCCCACAUGGGGUUAGCUAGUGGGUGGGGGAACGGCUCCCCUAGGCGACGAUCCCUAGAGGGUCUGAGAGGAUGACAAGCCACACUGGAACUGAGACACGGUCCAGACUCCUACGGGAGGCAGCAGUGGGGAAUAUUGCACAAUGGGCGCAAGCCUGAUGCAGCCAUGCCGCGUGUAUGAAGAAGGCCUUCGGGUUGUAAAGCACUUUCAGCGGGGAGGCGUUACCCGCAGAAGAAGCACCGGCUAACUCCGUGCCAGCAGCCGCGGUAAUUC
RNAcentral lists this ribosomal RNA (406 nucleotides) under uncultured bacterium. Its description in RNAcentral is "partial 16S ribosomal RNA". It matches the Rfam family "Bacterial small subunit ribosomal RNA", at positions 29 to 526 of the family's 1533-position model. The record is from RNAcentral.